Molecule: non-coding RNA, 5137 nt
Organism: Callithrix jacchus (white-tufted-ear marmoset)
Lineage: Eukaryota; Metazoa; Chordata; Mammalia; Primates; Cebidae
Source: RefSeq, a predicted model, not a curated record
CGUUCAGUCCCCCAAACCUUUCCCACAAUGUUAUUGGAUAAAAACUGCAGGAAUAUCACACAAAUUACAAACUCAAGAUGUGCAAAUUCCAAGGUUCUUUAAAAGUUCAUCUUAAAAAGAAAAACACUGGACAAAAAUGAGUAUUCUCUUCUCCAUCCCUUUCCUCAGUUUCUCUGCCCAUUCUGCAUAUGCCUGUAACUGUUUCUCAGACAUCAAAGUGAAAAGUACCUCCUGUCAGGUAGUACUUGGUCAUUUAUUGUCACACACGAGUUCAUAAUUCACAUUCAUCCCUUUAAACCACAUUGAAACUUUCAAUAUCUUGCUCUUCAGCAAUUCUGCAGAGCUGAAAUGUAGUUACAGUGUUGAAAAAAAAGAAAGCAACUUCGUUUUUUUUUUUCCUCUUCCCAAAGAGUUUAAAAUGAGAUACAGUACUUGUUGAAUGAGAGACCAAGAUGCUUGGUAAUAAAGUGUGAACGGUAUUUUUAAAUGCUUAAAGAUAGUAAUAUAUGCUCAUCUUCACAAUCUAAUUCCUCAUGUCACACUGGAAUCUGAAAAAAAAAAAAAGUGGCGCCCGAGUUGUCCAUAGUCAUGAACUAUAAACAGUACUAGAGUUAAAAGACAAAGAUUUUGCAAACUCAUUGAGAAGAGCUUCCGUUGCUGUCACGGAAGGGCAGUUUGCAUCUACCUCUUGGGAGUGAAGUCAAGGCAGUAACCUGAUAGGUCUUCCUAACACUGCACAGGAACCAGCGUGGGUGUUCACUCUCUCCCCGCCCCACCCCCAAACCCCCUUACCCCACGUGGAGCCAUGACAGCAGGGGCUUCCCUGUCCACGACACCCUGGUGACAUCACUGCACUAGUAAAGCAGAAAUGAAAUCCCGCAUGUGGCAGUUGCUCUUUAAAAAAAAAAAAAAAUAGAUGCAGUCAGGCCCCAUAGGGGGAAAUAUAUAUCUAUACAAUUAAAAGUUGCUUUUACUGUAAAAUAUGUUGGAGAGAAAAAUGUUCUUUUAAAUGGUUAGCUUUCCAAAUCUGCCGUCUGAUGCGUCUCUGCGAUGCCCUGAAGCUGGGUUCCUGCUGUUGAUCUUGUACAUGGGAACCCCAGGAGGACCCUGCUCUGAAUCCCCAGUCCCAUGCUGAUAGCAAGAGAGGGAGGCAGAGAAAAAGAGACCCUCACUGGCCACCACAGCGCCUCUGCACCCCCACAUGCAUGCACCCCUCCUUUAGUGGGCUGGGUGUUCUCCGACAGGAGAGCUCAUUCAGCCAGUACCCUCUGGAUAGGCAGGCACACGAUUAUGGGGAAACACCUGGAGCAUAUGCUGUUUGGUAUCUGUGGCCUGUAUAAUCUCAGUAGACUCCUACAUAUGGGGUUCCUGGGUUUAAAUGUGUAAAUAUGUUUAAUUUGUUAACUGCAAUCUGAAUGCCCUCCACGAGAAUUGUUCUGUUCUGUAUCCCACCAGCCAUGUCCAGGAACGCCUGUUUCUUCAGAGUGGUUACUUUGGGAUUUUUGCCAGUCUAACAGGUGAAGGGUUGGAGAUUCUUCUUAGUGGCUUGGGCUGGGGCCUGGCCAUGUGUAUGUCUUUAAAUUUCCACUGAUGAUUUUGCUGCAUGGCCGGGGUUGAGAAUGACUGCGAAUUUGCCGGAUUUCCUUUGCUGUUCCUGCACGUAGUUUAAAUGCGACUGCCCGUACCACGUAUCAUUCACCAUUUUUCUUUCUGUUACCUGGCCGUCGGCCUUUUCUUUCUGUUCACGUGUACUUGCUGUAUCUUAGCCCAGACCUCCAACUUCCUUUUCACUGGCCCUUUGGGAGGUCACAGGGUCCUGAUGCUGUGCUCUUGGUCUCCAGGUGUCUGCCUUCCAGCAGCAACUGCUGGCCUGGGCUGGGGUGGAAGCCGAACACUGUAGUGGAGUUGCUCACCCAGGCUCUCCUGCUCUGCUUCCCGCUCCCUGCUGCCCAGUAUGACAGCGCUGAUGGCCGGUAGGUGAGCACUGUCAAUUGCUGCUCCUAUGCUGGAAGAUGGGGAAAUGCCCUUCCUGCACUGUGCCUUGCAGCACACCUGCAUCUUCAGCUUUCAGCUCCUCCUGGGGUCUCACCUGGUCACGUGAUCCCUCUAGACAGCAUCCUGCCCCUUGCAUCUGCAGAAGGAUUUCCAAUCAGCCCCUGGAAUUCACGUUCCAGCAGAGAGAGCUGCCUUAGAUUGUCAGUCCCAGUCAGCUCACCCUGCCACAGCCUGGGCUUGGGCAGGAAAGGGUUUUCCAGGGCAGGGGCACUCUGGCACACCCUGAGUAUUUUCAGGUGUUUGAGAAUCUGCACUGGGACACCCACUACAGAGCCGCACAGGAUGAGCAGUGUCAAUCCAGAUGAUUAUGGAGGAAAUGUGAGCUUCCCCAGCCCUCAAUCCUUAGGCUGCUGAAUUUUCUUAAAACCUCCAGGCAUCCCCUGAGGAUGCCACACAUGAGAAAGCUGCUCAUUCCCUUUGGCUCUCUUGCUCUUUGGUUAUAUCCUCUCCUGCCAUAGGCGGGAUGUGAGGACUGGGGGGCAUCUCCCGUGGCAUACCUGGGGCAUGCAGUGCCUGUCAUUGUGGUGCCCAUCAGGACCCCAGAGUGAGGAAAGGAGGACUCAGUGUCUGGGCAAUAGGAAGGCCCCCUGGGACGCUAGUGCUGUGAUGUGUCAGAAAGGCACAGUCAGCAGCAGCACCUGCGUGUGUUUGGUGGGAGGUGGCACCUUCCACCCUGUGGUUUUUGCCCAAGGGAGCCAAGUCCUUCCCACUGGCUGUAGUCAUGUCUUGGGUCUCUCUCUUUAGUUUUGAGCCUCGAGUUAAGACGCCAUUUGUGGGUGGCUGAAGGGUGGCUCCAUGGAGGCUCCCUCUCUUCCUUCCUUAAAUAGACAAGGUGUAUGGCCUCCUCUGUUUGUGUGGUGUGGUUUCUGGAGGGUUAGUCUAUUUCUUCCCAUCCUACAAGUACCUGCACCAGGUCCAUGCCCACUGGGAGAACGGCAGCCUGCUGGGCCGCCUGGCCACCAGAAAGGUGAGUGGCCCAUCAGCCGGCCCUCUCACUCACAAGGACAGUGCCCCUGAGUCCUCUUGGGAGCUCUUGUGCUCAAGUCAGGACAGGCUUCUAGCUCCUCAUCCCCACCACUCCCAGUACCUGACUACAGAGGAUUUCCCCAAAGCCCCAGGUUGCAAGGCUCUCCUGUCCCCUGGCCAGGAAACACAAAGCCACCAGCAGAUCCAAGACCCAGCGCCCUGAACCCAUCUCUGGGAGACGUCCUCUGCCUCCACAUAUUCCAGGACCCAAGAGUGCACACCAGGUGGAGCAGGUGCCACUCUCGUGUUCCAGGUGCAUUCAGGUGCAGGCGUAACUCUGAGGCUUGGGCCUGAGACCUUGGUAGGGAGGUAGCUGGAAAUGUUGAGUGUCAUCUAAGCUUUGGCUCAGUACCUCUGGGGCUAGGUGUCUCUCACCAGGCUGUGGCCAGGAGAGAGGUUGGGUGAUAGGGGCCCUGCUCCUCUCUGUGGCUGGAGGAAAGAUGAGUGAAGGGAUCAACUUCUCUGACAACCUAGGCUGGUAAGUAGUGCUCAUCUUCUUGGCUGUGACAGGCAGCCAGCCCUCCCUCCAGCAGCUGGGCCCCUACCUGCUGUCUGCUGCCAUCAGAGCCCAAAGCCGGGCUGCGACUGCUCAGACCAGCCAGUUGGAGGGAGGGGCUCAGCAGCUCUGGGUUUGGCCCUGGGAGAACAGGUGGAAAAUCGGCCGGCCAUCGCUGUAGCAGGACACAGAUCCAUUGGCAUAGACGGGAUCUGUCAGCUAAACCAGCCCUCUCUGAGUGGUAGGUGCAGAGUUGGGAGGGGCAGAGCUGUGAGCACAGACGAGGAAUUGGCAGAACGGAGCAGCUGGUGAUGUGUGGGUGAUGACCCCAGGCUCCUGUCUCCCCCUAGGUGUGUGGCGAUGGCAGGCAUGCCCUUCCCGAACAUAGGUCUCCAGAGCUGCAGAAGAUGGCCAACUUGGAUCACACCCUUGUGAGUGUCCCCAGUGUUGCAGAGGGUAGGAGGAGAGUGGGUGGUGGGUGGCAGUGGCGUCACUCCUAGCAUUGACACAGCCAGGCCUUCCCUGCUGGGCCAGCAUCUCCUGUCCCCUCUGGAGGUUCAGAUGCCCCUCUACACCUCUUGAUCUUCCCUGUGAUGUCAUCUGGACCCCUGCUGCUUGCGUUGGCCAAUGAAACCACUUGGUCUGGCCCCGAGGCCUGGCAGGGUCUCUUCCCAGGAAGAGCUGCAGGCAGGCCAACAGUCCUCAUGGGUCAUCCCCUUCACCCCCAGCCCAGAGCCCCAGGCCAGGUGUCCCCAGGGAAGGAUCUGGUGGAGAACCUCUGCAAGAAGGCCAUCAACCAGUCCACAGCAAGCCUAGCUGCCUCCAGCUGGCUGGACAGAUGGGGGCUGGAGAAGGGGAGAAGAGGAAAGGGGUUGCCUGCCCUGUCUCCCACCUGAGGCUGAGGAAGGGGAGGGAGAUGCCAUGGAAAUGUGCUGUCAGGAAGGCAGCUGUAACUCAAGAGCUCUAGCCUCCUGUCCCAUGAGGGCAGGGCCAUCGGUCACCAAAGGCAUUCUGCCAGCACAGUGCUCCUGGACCAGUGAUAUGCCCGGCCCGGCCUGGCCAAGCUGCCGGCCUGGAUCCGAGCCUUCAUGGAGGUCACAGCCACCUUUGGUUCUGCCAUUGCUGCCGUGGGGAAGUUCAAUCCUCCAUUUUCCUUUCCCAAGAGCCUCCACCACCCCAAGAUCCCAUUCUCACUGACAUCUCCCUGCCCAGUUCCACUGGGAGAAGUUGGCCUCUUCCUGAUGGGCAGCUGCACCACUGCCUGGUACUGCGCCCUUCCUCUGCCCUGCCUGCUGGAGACUGUGUUUGUGGUGGGCCUGGUCUGCAGGGAUCCUACUACAAAGGUGAAACCCAGGAGUGUGCCAGAACACUGCCAGGACCCAGGCACAGGCAUUAGUGCCCACAGGUGGAAACAGGGAAAAGGGAUCAUGGUCAGCUGAGAUCUUCUGCCCCCACUGCCUACGGACCAACAGGGGCAGGAGGAAAGUCACUGACCUCGAGACGUUUACAUCCUGCACAGCUAGAGGCCCUUUAUUAAAGUGCACUGUUGGUUUCUACUCA